GCCACCCAUCAGAAAGGUCUGGGGCUCAGCCUCAGCAGGCUGCCGCCAUCUGGCUCCUUGGGCUCUUUGCGCCCACUCUCACCCCCUGUAUCUGCCAGGCCUCAGCAGGAUAGAGGGGGCUGUGUCCUGGGACACAGGCUGUGACUGCAGGGUGGUUACCAAGCUGCCGUGGCAAGCGAGGUCAAGGACGCCAACAGGACCUCAAGGACAGGUGAGGUCAUAGCUGAUGGAAGCCCUGUUUUGGGUAGCAAAUCAGCUGCUGUCAAACUUCAGAGAGCGAGAGAAGGAGAGAGGGGGGGAGAGAGAGAGAGAGAUCCCACCAGGGGAGCAGGUGCCCUCACCUCACCUGCUCCCUCUAGCCGCCUACCUCCGUCUCGCAUUGGCUGAGCUGAGGGCUGGGCCUUGGCAGUGCAUGGAGGUCACCCUUGUCCGUGGCGAUGAGUCCAUGGAGGUCAACCUCCCAGGCAGAGAGCCGACUGGGAAAUGGACGUGAAUCUAGAAGGCAAACAGUGAGUAUCCCAAAGCCCACCGUUCCCCACAGUCACACCACCACAGCCCAUUGUCCCCAGAGCAGCCCGGAAGAUCCUUGGGCUCUGGGGGACCAGAGAGGAAGGCAGAGCUGCAGGGUGGACAGAGCCGGGUCCAUAGGACAGCAGCAGCAGCAGGAGGGCCUCCUGCCACCAGGAAUUCUCCUCUGGGCUGAGAGGCAGAGAAUCCAUCUCAGCUGUGAUUCGGGAGAGACGCUGGGAGUCUGCCUGCUCCCCUUUAGCCCUGACACAUCUAUAAAACAGGUGACAAUGGUGUCACCUCCAUAAGGUUGAUGGAAGAAUUAGAUGAGAUAAAAUUGCUCAGGGAGAUGCUUGGCAAUGUCCCAAGUUCCCAAGCAAUGGCAACAAUUAUUGUUACUUAAUAUUUGAAGUGCACACAUGAUCAUAUCAUGCCACUCCUUUCUCCCCUAAUGCCUUAUCAUGGGCUCUGAAGAGAUCCUUCCAGCAAACAGAUCAACUGUGGAGGGUGUGUGUGUGGAGGGGAAGGCCCACAGCCCCCCACCCCCCACUGCACCCCAAGAGGCUUCUGACCCCAUGCCUUUCAGGCAGAGCCCAAAGAGGAGGGUCCUACCCUUUCUAGGCAAAGUGUCCCCCAUGGGAUCACAUGUGGCUGCCAGGCCCCAAGAUGCCCUAGGGGACCAUGGCUCCAGCAUCCGCUCUGAAUCCCAGCUGGCCCCUGACUCUAGGAUCCUUACUGUGCCUUGGGAGCCCGGGUCACUGGAGUGGUGGGGAACCCUGUGGGAGAGACCAUGUGGGGAGCCGCAGAGAUGGGAGAGGAGACAGCCCCAGUCACCCAGGUGAACCAGGUGAGCCCCGCCUCCUUGGGAUCCCCGCAAAAGCAUCCAGUGUGUGCCUGGGACACAGGUCCACUCUCCUGUCCUGCGGAUCCCCAGCCACCUGCCCCUCCAGCCAUCACACGAGCAGGAGGUCCCAGAGCUGCCCCAGCCACCCUCAGAUUCAAAGGGAGUAACAAAGGUUUCCCGCCAGUUUCUGGGGGUGCCGUGUAGCAGCAGGUCCCCGGCAGCGAGCCAGGCCAGGCCACGGGGGCCGGGGACUAGCUACUUGCUGCCCCCGCCCACGGUGCAGGGAGAGCGGCCACUGCAGGCGCAGGG
This 1660-nucleotide long non-coding RNA is filed under the name Marmota monax (woodchuck). The record is from RNAcentral. Lineage: Eukaryota; Metazoa; Chordata; Mammalia; Rodentia; Sciuridae.